UGGCGCCGCCCAGCGUGUUCUGGAAGAAGCCCCCGCAGCUCAGUGGCGCCCAGGAGCCUGCGGGGUGAGAAGGUGGUCUCAGCCAGAGGGAGCAGGUUUUUGGCAACAAGGGAUGAGAUUUGAAGCUGAAUGUUAAUGGCCUAUAGGGCAAGAUGCUCAGACAAGGCACCUGCUGAACCCUUCGAGUUCACUGCUCUUCUUGUCCCCAAGAGCUGUGGAUGAGUGGACUAUCUAUUGUGUCAUCACUAACAAAUCCAGUUUAUCUUGUCACUGUGGCGAAAGACCAUACAGGCAAAGCAUCCCCUGUGGGAAAUCAAAACUACCCCGGAAGCAAUAACCACCCCCUGGAGGAGGAACUCCAGCGACCCAGACCACCCAGGCCAGUUUGAACUUAAUGCCAACUCAGGCCUGCACAGAUAGACCAUGAAGUGACUCCUGGAGUUCCCAACAGUUACCUUUAGCUCACUAUAAUACUAAGAUCUCUGCCCAAGGCACAAGCCUCAUUUACAUGACAUACAAUGCAUUGAUUGUCAUGUUUCCUUAAGUCACAAGAGCAAUGCUACGCCUGCCUCUACAAAUGAUGAACAAGGCCUCCCUUUGUAAGUAUUUAUCCCUAACCCUAAAUAAAAGGAACCCAUUUACCUUUGUUUGGUAAAUCACAGU
Long non-coding RNA from Neofelis nebulosa (Clouded leopard), 663 nucleotides. RefSeq lists it as uncharacterized. The transcript has 4 exons. The record is from RefSeq and is a predicted model, not a curated record. NCBI's taxonomy places the organism in Eukaryota, Metazoa, Chordata, Mammalia, Carnivora, Felidae.